RNAcentral lists this ribosomal RNA (440 nucleotides) under uncultured bacterium. RNAcentral's name for it is "partial 16S ribosomal RNA". It matches the Rfam family "Bacterial small subunit ribosomal RNA", at positions 338 to 795 of the family's 1533-position model. The record is from RNAcentral.
CCUACGGGUGGCUGCAGUGGGGAAUAUUGCACAAUGGGGGAGACCCUGAUGCAGCGACGCCGCGUGAGGGAAGAAGUAAUUCGGUAUGUAAAGCUCUAUCAGCAGGGAAGAAAAGGACGGUACCUGAGUAAGAAUCCCCGGCUAACUACGUGCCAGCAGCCGCGGUAAUACGUAGGGGGCAAGCGUUAUCCGGAUUUACUGGGUGUAAAGGGAGCGUAGACGGCAGUGCAAGUCUGGAGUGAAAGGCUGGGGCUCAACCCCAGGACUGCUAUGGAAACUGUACGGCUGGAGUGCAGUAGAGGUAAGUGGAAUUCCUAGUGUAGCGGUGAAAUGCGUAGAUAUCAGGAGGAACACCAGUGGCGAAGGCGGCUUACUGGACUGUAACUGACGUUGAGGCUCGAAAGCGUGGGGAGCAAACAGGAUUAGAUACCCCUGUAGUC